This 450-nucleotide ribosomal RNA is filed under the name uncultured bacterium. RNAcentral's name for it is "partial 16S ribosomal RNA". It matches the Rfam family "Bacterial small subunit ribosomal RNA", at positions 354 to 796 of the family's 1533-position model. The record is from RNAcentral.
GUGGGGAAUAUUGGACAAUGGGCGAAAGCCUGAUCCAGCCAUGCCGCGUGUGUGAAGAAGGUCUUCGGAUUGUAAAGCACUUUAAGUUGGGAGGAAGGGCAGUAAGUUAAUACCUUGCUGUUUUGACGUUACCAACAGAAUAAGCACCGGCUAACUUCGUGCCAGCAGCCGCGGUAAUACGAAGGGUGCAAGCGUUAAUCGGAAUUACUGGGCGUAAAGCGCGCGUAGGUGGUUUUGUAAGUUGGAGGUGAAAUCCCCGGGCUCAACCUGGGAACUGCCUCAAAAACUGCAUGACUAGAGUACGGUAGAGGGUAGUGGAAUUUCCUGUGUAGCGGUGAAAUGCGUAGAUAUAGGAAGGAACACCAGUGGCGAAGGCGACUACCUGGACUGAUACUGACACUGAGGUGCGAAAGCGUGGGGAGCAAACAGGAUUAGAAACCCGGGUAGUCC